AUAGGACUGAACUGUGGGAGA
Molecule: microRNA, 21 nt
Filed under: Haemonchus contortus (barber pole worm)
Lineage: Eukaryota; Metazoa; Nematoda; Chromadorea; Rhabditida; Trichostrongylidae
Description: hco-miR-5890e
Source: miRBase by way of RNAcentral